AAUGCACGAAACCACAUAUAAUUUAAUAGAUACGCUACUUAUUCAAUAUUCAAGCUCGUACAAUAUACAAAUAACCAAGUCAAAAAAUAUUGCAGGGCGAUCAAAUACUGGCAAUCAACUACAUAUCUUCAGCAUUUCACUGAAAAAAUAGGACAAACAAGCAAGAAUACACUGAAGCAGUAUCAUCCAAGCAGCUCAAAGCAAGUCUCCAAGCAGCUCAAAGCAAGAUCAUGCCGGGCAACGACCUCACUAUGCAUGCCGUUACUGUCGGUGGCGUCUUUGUUUACAUGCAUGACAGAAGCAACUUACGGGGCAUGAAGAAGACAAUAAUUGUUGCACGUGCUUGGUCCCAAGCUAAGCUACGCCCGCCUGAAUUAGAAAUUGGCGAAGCGCGUUAUUGUGUCAUCACUUAUGUCUGAAUUAGAGUAUAUGAUAACCGUCUUGCAAACAAAAUAUUCAGUUUCUCUGUUCCUAUAAGAAAAAUAGAAAACCAGAAGCCAUCAGUGUGUAAUGCCAUCUAUCAACACAAGGCCAUAAAUUUUAUUUAACUUUGAAUCCAGAUUGUCCUAUUUAUUAGCAAAAAGAGUCUAUAUCCGGAAAAAGAAAUUUUGUAUUGGAAAAUGGAUUUGGAAAACUUCACACCAGAAUAAUGUAAAGCAGUGUAUUUAAAUAAACUGCAGAGCGAUGGAAAUAAUAGUAAACUUGAUAAAGAAAAAAUUGAUUAACACAAUGCUUGUAAGAUAUCACGACAUGCAAGGAAAAUGCUUACCUAAAUAUAAUACAAAAUCCUAAAUUAGCUGAGAGCAGGAGACAAACAUAUUAAGCUCAACUUAACGGGAAGAAUCACUAUGAAUAUUUCAAUACAUAAUGUCAAGAUUGUUAUGCAAAAACAUAAUGGAGUAGCAUUUAAGCAUGUGGAAAUCAUCAUACUAAUUACAAGAGCAUACCCUGCACCUCCUUGAUCACCACGUCGAACCUCAUGCCUCGACCAUGGCAGCUGGCAGCACCUGCCUGGGGUGUGUCCAAGAUGGUUGGGACAAUUUUCCAGUCCAUGCUGCCAGUCCAAGCUGGAAUGCAUACACAAAUUACUACACAUAUCUCAUAUGCUUGUGAAAUAUUGAGAUGACCAAAUUAUUUAGACCAAGUAGCCCUACUUUGAGAUGAGCACCACUUUCCAUUAUUUCAUCAUUCAGCUAAAAAUUAAAUAUUUGACUGAUAUUUAGACCCAGACCCUCCAGAACAAAUAGAAAAUGAGGCUUGUCAAUAUCUAUCCAUCGUUUCUGCAUCUCUAAAUCAAAAUAUAUUCUGAACCCAAAACCAAGACCAUAUGCACAACAGGAAAGGGGUUGACAUUGUGCUGAACCUGUAACACAUAGCAGAUAAUUUCUGACUUUGUGUCUAGGCUGGAUUGUACGUAAGACAUGUACGUAUUACAUAUUCAAAAUCAUUCAGGUAAACAGGAAGGCUUGCAUCGAAAGGAGAAUAUAAACUGUGAUACAUGGGAGUGUAAGAAUACAUUGUUCGAAUCUGGGAUCUACCAUGGAAAUGCUCAACAAGCAGCCCUAAAUAUAGCAAUACUUCUCAACAAAUGAGAUAAACAGAGAUAACAAUAUCAGUUGUAGAUUCAGAUUUAUUUGAACAAAAUAUAUCUUAAGUUUGUCUGCUAAUUAGAAUAAGAAUUAGAAGGGACCAUAGCUAGUAAUUCAGACGAAUUAAUUGUAGGGAAGAACUGAGCAAAGUUACGGCUUCAUAGCAAAACUGGAUUUGUAAUGUAUACUGUGUGUUCCUGUUGAUAGUACAAAUGUAAGAACAAAGCGCCUCAGUGCAGCACGUACAGGAAGAUAAAAAGGUAAGCUGUGCUAGUGCCCAUACUCUGCUUCUCUACCUCUGCCCAUAAGGUGUUUGCUGAAUUGUUUGCUCCGAUUCAGUCAAUCAGUCGAGUCGUGAACCUGUCCACCCUGUUCGUGAGACAGAGAUAGACUCGAGCCCGCUGUCGGCCUGUCACAGAAGAAUUGAAAUGAUUAAAGAACUUCAACAGGAAUAAUACUCCAUUUGGAAACUAAUAAAAGCCGUUUUAGGUCAGUAUUUCGUGACCUACAACGUCUUAUAUUAGUUUAGCGCAUUAGUAGCGAAGCAAUUCUCUGAAAAAAAUCAGCAAAUUAGAAGUUAUGAGGUUUCAUUACGUACCUCCAAACAAAUUCUCUAAAACAUCUUUCCAGCUAGCUAUUAGUAGUUCUCUCGGGACUUGAUGGACAUCUUUGUCAGAAGAGCACAACCGCAGAUGAAUCAAUUAACACAACGGAGGGAAGAAAAAAUUAUGUUGAAUAGCAAAGAACAUGUAAAUUCACUUGAAAAUAGGUCACCUUUCUAAAUCAUUGCAAUGUAUCACUGUAUGUAAACCAAAUAAGUGCUCUAAAUUCUAAACCUGUAAAAGAUAAUUAUAUAUUAUUUAUACAACAGGAACCAUGUUAGGUUUCACCUCAAUUUUGUCUACCAAUAUGUAUUCAACUCUCUACUGAAAUACAAUAAAAUUUAGCAUUAAUUUUCAAUCUAGUUAUUCGCAUCAUGCAGAUCAAAAUAAGAAAAUGUUCGAUAUCUUCUCCCCUCCGACCUCCCAUAAUACCCUUUCUUUAAUAUGAACUUGGUAGCACUGUAUCUGUACCUCCCAUAAUUCCUUUCUUAUAUAUAUAAUUAGCAUCUGGACUAUGCAAUCAACAAGUGGUCACUAACUCACAUAUGUUGUGCAGAUUUCUCUAUUCGUGUAUGACACAUCAGGCCCGGUAGAGUUCUAAAACGCUGACAACUAAUCCAAUUAACACAAAGAAUCAAACUAAAUCUAGAUUAAUUUCUAAAGUCAAAAGGAUAAGAGUAAGAGAGCAUACAAAUGAUGUAUGUUGCUUCCGCCUACUGCGGCACUGCAGCCUGCCUCCACACCUUGGUCCGUGGAUUCGUGGAGCCGUGCGUCUGCACCAGUCUUGUGAGCAAUGAACGUGCGCUGCUCUGGCAGAACUUGAGGGAUCGAUUGCUAGCGUGCAGCAAAUUAGCUUCACCAUGACGCACAGCGACUUGUAUUACCUGAUGCACAUGCAGACUUAGCUCCUACUUAGCACUAAACAAAAUUAUUUACCCAUAUGCCUGUGCAUCAGGGAGUCACCAAGUAGCUCCUGCCCGGACUGGCAGUGUGCGGUACCAUCCUAAAAAACACAGACCGGUAGAUCGAUCUCACUCAUAUCCUUGUAGCCGAUCUGCACGGUCUUCUCCUGCAAGGCGCCCAGAUCCGCCACCGCGAAGAUGUUCAGUAGCGUGAUGCUGGAGAUGCGGACAUGGGCAACACGGGGAUAUUUUCCGGCAACACGGUGAGGCUAUCAAUCACCAUGUACGCCACGACGAC
RNAcentral lists this long non-coding RNA (3391 nucleotides) under Triticum aestivum (bread wheat). RNAcentral describes it as "long non-coding RNA (TAES_LNC005406)". Lineage: Eukaryota; Viridiplantae; Streptophyta; Magnoliopsida; Poales; Poaceae. The record is from RNAcentral.